AGGACGAACGCUGGCGGCGCGCUUAACACAUGCAAGUCGAACGUGAAGCUGGAGCUUGCUCCGGUGGAAAGUGGCGAACGGGUGCGUAACACGUGAGCAACCUGCCCCGAAGACUGGGAUAACACCGGGAAACCGGUGCUAAUACCGGAUACCUUCUUCCGAUCGCAUGGUUGGAUGAAGAAAUGGAUUCCGCUUCGGGAUGGGCUCGCGGCCUAUCAGCUUGUUGGUGAGGUAACGGCCCACCAAGGCGACGACGGGUAGCUGGUCUGAGAGGACGACCAGCCACACUGGGACUGAGACACGGCCCAGACUCCUACGGGAGGCAGCAGUGGGGAAUCUUGCUCAAUGGGCGAAAGCCUGAAGCAGCGACGCCGCGUGCGGGAUGAAGGCCCUCGGGUUGUAAACCGCUUUCAGCAGGGACGAAAUUGACGGUACCUGCAGAAGAAGGCCCGGCCAACUACGCGCCAGCAGCCGCGGUAA
RNAcentral lists this ribosomal RNA (480 nucleotides) under uncultured bacterium. RNAcentral's name for it is "SSU rRNA". It matches the Rfam family "Bacterial small subunit ribosomal RNA", at positions 26 to 523 of the family's 1533-position model. The record is from RNAcentral.